GUUCAGCUGACGAGUUCCAAAUAGGACGAAACGCGUGUCCUGGAU
This 45-nucleotide non-coding RNA is filed under the name Schistosoma mansoni. The record is from RNAcentral. Lineage: Eukaryota; Metazoa; Platyhelminthes; Trematoda; Strigeidida; Schistosomatidae.